Molecule: microRNA, 22 nt
Filed under: Strongyloides ratti
Lineage: Eukaryota; Metazoa; Nematoda; Chromadorea; Rhabditida; Strongyloididae
Description: str-miR-84-5p
Gene: str-miR-84-5p
Source: miRBase by way of RNAcentral
UGAGGUAGUGUUAAAUAUUGUU